RNAcentral lists this ribosomal RNA (253 nucleotides) under uncultured bacterium. RNAcentral's name for it is "partial 16S ribosomal RNA". It matches the Rfam family "Bacterial small subunit ribosomal RNA", at positions 524 to 776 of the family's 1533-position model. The record is from RNAcentral.
UACGGGGGGGGCAAGCGUUGUUCGGAAUUACUGGGCGUAAAGCGCACGUAGGCGGAUCUUUAAGUCAGGGGUGAAAUGCCAGGGCUCGACCUUGGAACUGCCUUUGAUACUGGGGAUCUGGAGUCCGGGAGAGGGAUGCGGAAUUCCAGGUGUAGCGGUGAAAUGCGUAGAUAUCUGGAGGAACACCGGUGGCGAAGGCGGCAUCCUGGACCGGUAUUGACGCUGAGGCGCGAAAGCCAGGGGAGCAAACGGG